AACGAACGCUGGCGGCAGGCCUAACACAUGCAAGUCGAGCGCUCUAGCAAUAGGGAGCGGCGCACGGGUGAGUAACGCGUAGGAAUCUACCUUGUAGUACGGAACAACAGUUGGAAACGACUGCUAAUACCGUAUACGCCCUUCGGGGGAAAGAAUUUCGCUAUAAGAUGAGCCUGCGUUAGAUUAGCUAGUUGGUAAGGUAAUGGCUCACCAAGGCUCCGAUCUAUAGCUGGUCUGAGAGGAUGAUCAGCCACACUGGGACUGAGACACGGCCCAGACUCCUACGGGAGGCAGCAGUGGGGAAUAUUGGGCAAUGGGCGCAAGCCUGACCCAGCCAUGCCGCGUGAGUGAUGACGGCCUUAGGGUUGUAAAGCUCUUUUAGUGGUGAGGAUGAUGACGGUAACCACAGAAAAAGCCCCGGCUAACUUCGUGCCAGCCGCCGCGGUAA
Molecule: ribosomal RNA, 448 nt
Filed under: uncultured bacterium
Lineage: Bacteria
Description: partial 16S ribosomal RNA
Rfam family: Bacterial small subunit ribosomal RNA
Source: RNAcentral